This 454-nucleotide ribosomal RNA is filed under the name uncultured bacterium. RNAcentral's name for it is "bacterial SSU rRNA". It matches the Rfam family "Bacterial small subunit ribosomal RNA", at positions 96 to 562 of the family's 1533-position model. The record is from RNAcentral.
CGGCGGACGGGUGAGUAACGCGUGGGUAACCUACCCCAAAGUCCGGGAUAACAGCGGGAAACCGCUGCUAAUACCGGAUGCCUUUACCUUGGGGCAUCUUGUGGUAAAGAAAGGCAACGCUUUGGGAUGGGCCCGCGUCCCAUUAGCCAGUUGGUGAGGUAACGGCUCACCAAGGCGACGAUGGGUAGCCGGCCUGAGAGGGUGGACGGCCACACUGGGACUGAGACACGGCCCAGACUCCUACGGGAGGCAGCAGUAGGGAAUAUUGCGCAAUGGACGGAAGUCUGACGCAGCGACGCCGCGUGAGCGAUGAAGGUCUUCGGAUCGUAAAGCUCUGUCCUUGGGGAAGAAGGCGAAAGCUUGACGGUACCCAAGAAGAAAGCCCCGGCUAACUACGUGCCAGCAGCCGCGGUAAUACGUAGGGGGCGAGCGUUGUCCGGAAUUACUGGGCGUA